Molecule: transfer RNA, 90 nt
Filed under: Candidatus Poribacteria bacterium
Lineage: Bacteria; Candidatus Poribacteria
Description: tRNA-Ser
Rfam family: tRNA
About the family: Transfer RNA (tRNA) molecules are approximately 80 nucleotides in length. Their secondary structure includes four short double-helical elements and three loops (D, anti-codon, and T loops). Further hydrogen bonds mediate the characteristic L-shaped molecular structure. tRNAs have two regions of fundamental functional importance: the anti-codon, which is responsible for specific mRNA codon recognition, and the 3' end, to which the tRNAs corresponding amino acid is attached (by aminoacyl-tRNA synthetases). tRNAs cope with the degeneracy of the genetic code in two manners: having more than one tRNA (with a specific anti-codon) for a particular amino acid; and 'wobble' base-pairing, i.e. permitting non-standard base-pairing at the 3rd anti-codon position.
Source: RNAcentral
GGAGAGGUGCGAGAGUGGUUGAAUCGGGCUGCCUGCUAAGCAGUUAUGGCUUAACAGCCAUCAUGGGUUCGAAUCCCAUCCUCUCCGCCA